Long non-coding RNA from Pogoniulus pusillus (Red-fronted tinkerbird), 927 nucleotides. RefSeq lists it as uncharacterized. The record is from RefSeq and is a predicted model, not a curated record. NCBI's taxonomy places the organism in Eukaryota, Metazoa, Chordata, Aves, Piciformes, Lybiidae. The transcript is spliced from 3 exons.
AUGCUGCAGAAGGAUUGCAAUGGGCUGACUGAGCUGAGGAAAACAUCUCCUGAUGGCUUCCAUUUCCUCCACACAGAAGGGAGCAGUGUGGGAGAGCUUCAUCCAUCCACCUGAUUACCAGAGGAGGCUUCACAGCACACACUCCAGAUAACAGAAUCUGUUACACAGCAUUAGACAUUUGAAUGCAGAGGAAAUUUGCUUCUGAGCUGAGGUGCUGCAAUGAAACAGGAGAAGACUUCUGAAAAAAGGAAAGCCAUGUGAGGUUCAAAGUGAGCUCAGCUGCAAUUUGAGCACCUUGAUUGACAUGAGGAGCAAUGACAGAGGGGAAGCGGUGUGCUUUUACUUUCUGAUCAAAUUUGCUUCCUGCCAAGGCUUAUCAAUUGGAUUGCUAUCUCCUAUCUCCCUUGGUUAUGGAUUAAAUAUCAUCUGAAAGCACAUCUCCUGUUCCUCAGAAUCAGCUCUGAUGGGUGAGUGUGACGCCCUUGCAAAAGAGGGAGAAAAUAAACACAGGUGGCAAGGGGCCCAGCAACAAUAAAAGUCUGAAUGAGAACACCUUUAUCACCUCUGCAGCAGCAGCCAAAAGGCCCAAGGAGAGAAAUAGAUUUUGUAAAGCAGGCUAAAUAUUUUUUACAGGGUGCAGAAUGCAACUUAAGAACCCAGCUGGGAAAAAUAGGUUUUGCAAAUGAGUGAAGAAUAUAUAUUUUAUUGGCUGCUUUUUAGAAUCAGAGAGAGAGGAAGAAGGUAGAAGAUAUUUAUAAGGCAAUGAACAAAUAGAAGUGUGUGUGUGCAGAGGGGGUGCUUUGAGCUGAGGUUUUGGGGUGAUGUUUUUUGGAUGUCCAUAGAAGCUUUGUAAAGGAAGCCACCAGCGUUGUGUAGCCAUGUGUACUGGUUCCUAUAAAACCCAUAAGCCUGCUUUAUGGUUUUAAA